AGUGAACGCUGGCGGUAGGCCUAACACAUGCAAGUCGAACGGCAGCACAGUAAGAGCUUGCUCUUACGGGUGGCGAGUGGCGGACGGGUGAGGAAUACAUCGGAAUCUACUUUUUCGUGGGGAUAACGUAGGGAAACUUACGCUAAUACCGCAUACGACCUACGGGUGAAAGCAGGGGAUCUUCGGACCUUGCGCGAUUGAAUGAGCCGAUGUCGGGUUAGCUAGUUGGCGGGGUAAAGGCCCACCAAGGCGACGAUCCGUAGCUGGUCUGAGAGGAUGAUCAGCCACACUGGAACUGAGACACGGUCCAGACUCCUACGGGAGGCAGCAGUGGGGAAUAUUGGACAAUGGGCGCAAGCCUGAUCCAGCCAUACCGCGUGGGUGAAGAAGGCCUUCGGGUUGUAAAGCCCUUUUGUUGGGAAAGAAAAGCAGCAGGUUAAUACCCCGCUGUUCUGACGGUACCCAAAGAAUAAGCACCGGCUAACUUCGUG
RNAcentral lists this ribosomal RNA (491 nucleotides) under uncultured bacterium. RNAcentral describes it as "partial 16S ribosomal RNA". It matches the Rfam family "Bacterial small subunit ribosomal RNA", at positions 29 to 507 of the family's 1533-position model. The record is from RNAcentral.